CUCGGGCACUGAUUCUCAACCCUGGCUAACCACUAAAAAUUUACUCAAGGAGCUUUUAAAAAGUAUCAGUACCUAGGACACAACACAGGUUAAUUGAAUAAGAACUUUGGGAGGAGACUCUAGCAAAUAGCAUCCCUGGUGAGAUGAAGAUCAUUACAAAAGAAUGCAAAGAGACAGCGUGGACAGUCCCUUCCGACACGCUAGCCAGGUAAAUGCAAAGAGACAGCGUGGACAGUCCCUUCCGACACGCUAGCCAGGACUGACACAGAAAGAAAACCUUUGGAACAGGAAAAGAAGCGCCUCUUUUGACAAAGCAAAGGGGGAUCACAGAGUUCCAGCCCUGGGGGCUGCGUCUGGGGGUUUCCUGGCAUCAGAAGAGCUGAUGGCGAGUUUUCCCUCAACCAUCACCGGCAAUGUGAAACUCAGUGGAGCGAAAGGCUCCUUGUUCCCACAGGGUCACAUUCAAGCACAAUUCAAAUAUGCAUACAGUAAAAUCAUGAGAUCCCAGCUACUCUCAACAAGGCUUA
This 527-nucleotide long non-coding RNA is filed under the name Pongo abelii (Sumatran orangutan). RNAcentral describes it as "lincRNA". Lineage: Eukaryota; Metazoa; Chordata; Mammalia; Primates; Hominidae. The record is from RNAcentral.